Lampris incognitus (smalleye Pacific opah) is the source of this 71-nucleotide small nucleolar RNA. RefSeq annotates it as small nucleolar RNA U54. The transcript has a single exon. NCBI's taxonomy places the organism in Eukaryota, Metazoa, Chordata, Actinopteri, Lampriformes, Lampridae. The record is from RefSeq and is a predicted model, not a curated record.
UGAGCUAUGAGGAUAUAAAUGUGACAAUGAUUUUAAAACCUGAUUACUUUAUACGCUAUUCUGAGCCAUGG